Molecule: ribosomal RNA, 173 nt
Filed under: Gastrotheca prasina
Lineage: Eukaryota; Metazoa; Chordata; Amphibia; Anura; Hemiphractidae
Description: partial 16S ribosomal RNA
Source: RNAcentral
ACGUGAUCUGAGUUCAGACCGGAGUAAUCCAGGUCAGUUUCUAUCUAUAAGAAAGUUUUUCUAGUACGAAAGGACCGAAAAAAUAUAGCCAAUGUUUAUAAUAAGCUAUCCCCCCAACUUUUGAACACAACUCAAAUAGCAAAUGCUUCAUUACUGCACCUCCAAACCAGAGU